UAUCUAUUACCUCCGUCCCGAAAAGCUUUUCUUCGAUUUGUCGAGAUACAGAUGUAUCUAACACUAAAACGUGCCUAGAUACAUCCGUAUCUAGACAAAUGUAAGACAUGCUUUUUGGGACGGAGGGAGUAGUUU
Molecule: non-coding RNA, 135 nt
Organism: Triticum aestivum (bread wheat)
Lineage: Eukaryota; Viridiplantae; Streptophyta; Magnoliopsida; Poales; Poaceae
Source: Rfam